AUUGAACGCUGGCGGCAGGCCUAACACAUGCAAGUCGAGCGAGCGGAGGACGGGUGAGUAAUGUAUGGUGAAUGCCCGAAAGAGGGGGAUAACUACUGGAAACGGUAGCUAAUACCGCAUCCUAUCGGAUAACCCAUAUGGGAUUAGCUAGUAGGUGAGGGAAUGGCUCACCUAGGCGACGAUCCAUAGCUGGUCUGAGAGGAUGAUCAGCCAAACUGGGACUGAGACACGGCCCAGACUCCUACGGAGGCAGCAGUGGGGAAUAUUGCACAAUGGGCGAAAGCCUGAUGCAGCAAUGCCGCGUGUAUGAAGAAGGCCGUAGGGUUGUAAAGUACUUUCAGUCGGGAGGCGUUACCGAAAGAAGAAGCACCGGCUAACUACGUGCCAGCAGCCGCGGUAAUUC
This 403-nucleotide ribosomal RNA is filed under the name uncultured bacterium. RNAcentral's name for it is "partial 16S ribosomal RNA". It matches the Rfam family "Bacterial small subunit ribosomal RNA", at positions 30 to 526 of the family's 1533-position model. The record is from RNAcentral.